GCCAGGCAUGGUGGCGUGUGCUUGUAAUCCUAGCUACUUGGAGGCUGAGGCAGGAGAAUUGCUUGAAUCCAGGAGGCGGAGGUUGCAGUGAGCCGAGAUGGUGCCACUGCACUCCAGCCUGGGUGACAGAACGAGACUCUGUCUCAA
RNAcentral lists this non-coding RNA (147 nucleotides) under Theropithecus gelada (gelada). The record is from Rfam by way of RNAcentral. Lineage: Eukaryota; Metazoa; Chordata; Mammalia; Primates; Cercopithecidae.